CCCAGACUCCUACGGGAGGCAGCAGUGGGGAAUAUUGCACAAUGGGGGGAACCCUGAUGCAGCGACGCCGCGUGGGUGAAGGAGCACCUCGGUGCGUAAAGCCCUCUCGGCAGGGAAGAAACAGACGGUACCUGACUAAGAAGCCCCGGCUAACUACGUGCCAGCAGCCGCGGUAAUACGUAGGGGGCAAGCGUUAUCCGGAUUCACUGGGUGUAAAGGGAGCGUAGACGGCGACGCAAGUCUGGAGUGAAAGCCCGGGGCCCAACCCCGGGACUGCUCUGGAAACUGCGUCGCUGGAGUACGGGAGGGGCAGGCGGAAUUCCUGGUGUAGCGGUGAAAUGCGUAGAUAUUAGGAGGAACACCAGUGGCGAAGGCGGUCUGCUGGACAGCAACUGACGCUGAGGCGCGAAAGCGUGGGGAGCAAACAGGAUUAGAUACCCGAGUAUAG
RNAcentral lists this ribosomal RNA (448 nucleotides) under uncultured bacterium. RNAcentral describes it as "partial 16S ribosomal RNA". It matches the Rfam family "Bacterial small subunit ribosomal RNA", at positions 330 to 793 of the family's 1533-position model. The record is from RNAcentral.